UUAAUUAUUAUAUAGAUCAAGGAU
Molecule: microRNA, 24 nt
Filed under: Gossypium raimondii (Peruvian cotton)
Lineage: Eukaryota; Viridiplantae; Streptophyta; Magnoliopsida; Malvales; Malvaceae
Description: gra-miR8665
Source: miRBase by way of RNAcentral